CCAAAUCCGAAUCUGAAUCAAAUAUUGCGCGCUUUGCACACCCCUAUUAUGCAUCUCAUGUUAACAUCCUUGCAAGAUGCAGUGGUUUCAUUCUAUACAAGUGAUUUCAAUCAUUUGAACUGCUUUUCAUUGCUAAGUACAAAUAGGACUAGUUUAUUAGUGUCUGAUAUGUUUUCCUCCAAAUCUCCAAAGGGAUUCAAAUAAUCAAGGAUGUACAAUUUCAGUAAAUAUAAAGAAAGUAAUUCAUUGCCCAAUGUAUAAAAACUGUAUCAUUUUGGAGCAGUUAGUAACACGAGACUGAAGGGGAUAUUUAAUCCAGUUCAGUUCAAUGCUAUGGCAGACAGUCAUGCCCAACAAGCUCUUUCAUAAAUCAACCAAGUUCUUACAACUGUUAAGGUUUUUGUCUUUGCUACUUCUACUGGAAGGCUGUUCCAGAAUCUUACUCAUCCUGAUAACUGUUAGAAUAGCUGUCACAGUGAAUCAAACAUCCUCAGGUAACGGGAGCAAAAGCCUUUAUAUUCUUCCAUCAGGCUAGAUGAUUGUACAGGCCCUACAACUAUCCUGUAAUCUGGCAUGCAGCAAACUCAAACUCUGGCACUAAAAAUGAGAGCCUUUACACACUGGCUGCAAUCCUGUACCUACCCUUGGCAUUGCCAGAGACUCCCAGAAGGAUUACUGGUGGGAGAAGUCUCAUGGAAAGAUGCUACCCCUGGAAAAAUAAUUUGAAUGCCUGACUAAAUUCUUGUCUUCGGGUCGGUCACUUGUUACCAGAAAUAAUCUGAUCCACUACUCACUAUUCAACAGCAGCCAAAGAGGAGAUGUAAAAUGGUCAUGCCACUGAACUCAAUGACUAUAUUUUUUUUCAGAGCAGCUAUUGAAAAAUUCUUCAUAACUUGGCUCUCUUUUUGGCACCCUAUUCUGUUCACAUGCACAUCAACUUCCAUUUAUCACAUAUCCACUGAAGGAAAUCAAGCAGCAAGUUUCACCUUCCAGAUCAUCAUCUUUCUGCCAAAAUUCAGCUCCAAUUAGUUCGAAAACCCAAAGAUGUUGUAUCAACUGUACCAACUUUCUGGAGCUCAGUACCACAGUACUGUCCUUAUUGUCCAUCCAAGAAAUGAAUAAACAAACAAUUAUACAAUGCAUAGAAGAUUGCUUAAGGAAGGGAGUAUGUAUAAAACAGCAAUACAUUUCAAUGUUUUCUACCGGUCUGUACUUCUUUACUAAUGACCUCAUCAUUGACUGUAGGUGUUCAAUAUUACAUAUGGGAUGGAGGCAAAUUCCAAAAUAUCCAGAGAGUGAUACUCCAGCCACCCUGAAUUCAGUCAGCAUAUACUUCUAAGAUAGGCAGGCAGCCAACCAGCAAGAGUCCUGUGCUUGAACACACAGAUCUGAGUAUGAAUUGCAGAAAUAUUUUUGAAGUCCUAUCUACAGUAUUUUAUUUGCAGCAACUGCCAAAAGCAGUUAGGAAAUAUGAUUCGCUCACUUCGGAAAUAUUAUAAGCUGCAAUUCCUCAUUCUUCUGAAUUCAGGAGCUCCCUUGCCUGAUAUUUUCAGAAGUCCACACAGCUCCAUCUUGCCAUUUCAUUAGAACUCUUAACCUGUAGGGUCUUGAAAAGCAAGAUUGCAACAGAGCCUUGUGAAGUUUUUCAAAACAGGCAAAUUGAGACACGCUGGCCCAAGGGUGGAAGCUUCCUCACAGUCCUGUUGGUUGAGCUCCUUAAAUGGAAGAGGAGGGAGACCUAC
This is a long non-coding RNA of Gavialis gangeticus (Gharial), 1742 nucleotides long. RefSeq lists it as uncharacterized. NCBI's taxonomy places the organism in Eukaryota, Metazoa, Chordata, Crocodylia, Gavialidae. The record is from RefSeq and is a predicted model, not a curated record. The transcript is spliced from 5 exons.